This 22-nucleotide small nuclear RNA is filed under the name Arabidopsis thaliana (thale cress). RNAcentral describes it as "snRNA_18532". Lineage: Eukaryota; Viridiplantae; Streptophyta; Magnoliopsida; Brassicales; Brassicaceae. The record is from RNAcentral.
AGAUAGUCGGUUUUGAUAGGUA